This 216-nucleotide ribosomal RNA is filed under the name Glomeromycotina sp. RNAcentral's name for it is "partial small subunit ribosomal RNA". The stretch from base 40 to 216 matches the Rfam family "Eukaryotic small subunit ribosomal RNA", at positions 686 to 864 of the family's 1831-position model. Lineage: Eukaryota; Fungi; Glomeromycota. The record is from RNAcentral.
GGGUCAGUAGGUUGGUCGUGCCACCGGUACGUACUGGUCUCACUGAUUCCUCCUUCCUGAAGAACCGUAAUGCCAUUAAUUUGGUGUUGCGGGGAAACAGGACUGUUACUUUGAAAAAAUUUGAGUGUUUAAAGCAAGCUAACGCUUGAAUACAUUAGCAUGGAAUAAUGAAAUAGGACGAUCGAUCAUAUUUUGUUGGUUUCUAGGAUUGACGUA